CCUACGGGAGGCAGCAGUAGGGAAUAUUGCUCAAUGGGCGAAACCCUGACGCAGCAACGCCGCGUGAGGGAUGAAGGUUUUCGGAUUGUAAACUCCUUUUAUUAGAGAAGAUAGUGACGGUCUCUAACGAAUAAGCACCUGCCAACUCCGUCCCAGCAGCCGCGGUAAUACGGAGGGUGCAAGCGUUCCUCGGAAUCACUGGUCGUAAAGAGCGCGUAGGCGGGAUGGCAAGGCAGAUGUGAAAUCCUAGGACUUAACCAGAGAACUGCAUUUGAAACUGUUAUUCUAGAGUAUGGGAGAGGUAGGUGGAAUUCUUGGUGUAGGGGUAAAAUCCGUAGAGAUCAAGAGGAAUACUCAUGGCGAAGGCGACUUGCUAGAACAUAACUGACGCUGAUGCGCGAAAGCGUGGGUAGCAAACAGGAUUAGAUACCCCUGUAGUC
This 440-nucleotide ribosomal RNA is filed under the name uncultured bacterium. RNAcentral's name for it is "partial 16S ribosomal RNA". It matches the Rfam family "Bacterial small subunit ribosomal RNA", at positions 338 to 795 of the family's 1533-position model. The record is from RNAcentral.